CCUACGGGAGGCAGCAGUGGGGAAUUUUGGACAAUGGGCGAAAGCCUGAUCCAGCCAUUCCGCGUGAGUGAAGAAGGCCUUCGGGUUGUAAAGCUCUUUCGCAAGGGAAGAAAACUUAGAUACUAAUAUUAUCUGAGGUUGACGGUACCUUGAUAAGAAGCACCGGCUAACUACGUGCCAGCAGCCGCGGUAAUACGUAGGGUGCGAGCGUUAAUCGGAAUUACUGGGCGUAAAGCGUGCGCAGGCGGUUUUGUAAGUCAGAUGUGAAAUCCCCGAGCUCAACUUGGGAACUGCGUUUGAAACUACAAGACUAGAAUAUGUCAGAGGGGGGUAGAAUUCCACGUGUAGCAGUGAAAUGCGUAGAGAUGUGGAGGAAUACCAAUGGCGAAGGCAGCCCCCUGGGAUAAUAUUGACGCUCAUGCACGAAAGCGUGGGGAGCAAAACAGGAUUAGAUACCCUGGUAGUCCACGCCCUAAAACGAUGUCUACUAGUUGUUGGUGGAGUAAAAAUCCAAUGAGUAACGCAGCUAACGCGUGAAGUAGAACCGCCUGGGGAGUACGGUCGCAAAGAUUAAAAACUUAAAAGGAAUUAGACGG
Molecule: ribosomal RNA, 596 nt
Filed under: uncultured bacterium
Lineage: Bacteria
Description: bacterial SSU rRNA
Rfam family: Bacterial small subunit ribosomal RNA
Source: RNAcentral